This 72-nucleotide transfer RNA is filed under the name Canis lupus familiaris (dog). It matches the Rfam family "tRNA". From Rfam's summary of the family: Transfer RNA (tRNA) molecules are approximately 80 nucleotides in length. Their secondary structure includes four short double-helical elements and three loops (D, anti-codon, and T loops). The record is from Rfam by way of RNAcentral. RNAcentral also lists the same sequence under 1 other name. Lineage: Eukaryota; Metazoa; Chordata; Mammalia; Carnivora; Canidae.
ACCUGACUGGCUUAGUCAGUAGAGCAUGUGACUCUUGAUCUCAGAGUCUUGAGUUCAAUCCCAAGAUGGGCA